Ictidomys tridecemlineatus (thirteen-lined ground squirrel) is the source of this 71-nucleotide non-coding RNA. The record is from Rfam. Lineage: Eukaryota; Metazoa; Chordata; Mammalia; Rodentia; Sciuridae.
GAGGUUGUGGCUCAGUGGUAGAGCACUUGCCUUGCAUGUGGGAGGCACUGGGUUUGAUCCUCAGCACCACA